GAUGAACGCUGGCGGUAUGCCUAACACAUGCAAGUCGAACGGGACUCUUCGGAGUUUAGUGGCGGACGGGUGAGUAACGCGUGAGAAUCUGCCUUCAGGAUGGGGACAACAGUUGGAAACGACUGCUAAUACCCGAUAUGCAGCGAUGUGAAAGAUUUAUCGCCUGGAGAUGAGCUCGCGUCAGAUUAGCUAGUUGGUGUGGUAAAGGCGCACCAAGGCGACGAUCUGUAGCUGGUCUGAGAGGAUGAGCAGCCACACUGGGACUGAGACACGGCCCAGACUCCUACGGGAGGCAGCAGUGGGGAAUUUUCCGCAAUGGGCGCAAGCCUGACGGAGCAAUACCGCGUGAGGGAGGAAGGCUCUUGGGUCGUAAACCUCUUUUCUCAGGGAAGAACACAAUGACGGUACCUGAGGAAUAAGCAUCGGCUAACUCUGUGCCAGCAGCCGCGGUAAUACAGAGGAUGCAAGCGUUAUCCGGAAUGAUUGGGCGUAAAGCGUCCGUAGGUGGUUUUGUAAGUCUGUGGUUAAAGCGUGGAGCUUAACUCCAUAACGGCCAUGGAAACUACAAGACUUGAGUGAAGUAGGGGUAGAGGGAAUUCCCAGUGUAGCGGUGAAAUGCGUAGAGAUUGGGAAGAACACCGGUGGCGAAAGCGCUCUACUGGACUUAUACUGACACUGAGGGACGAAAGCUAGGGGAGCGAAAGGGAUUAGAUACCCCUGUAGUCCUAGCCGUAAACGAUGGAUACUAGGUGUU
This 754-nucleotide ribosomal RNA is filed under the name uncultured cyanobacterium. RNAcentral's name for it is "bacterial SSU rRNA". It matches the Rfam family "Bacterial small subunit ribosomal RNA", at positions 28 to 824 of the family's 1533-position model. Lineage: Bacteria; Bacillati; Cyanobacteriota. The record is from RNAcentral.